GACGAACGCUGGCGGCGUGCUUAAUACAUGCAAGUCGAACGGAAAGGCCCUGCUUUUGUGGGGUGCUCGAGUGGCGAACGGGUGAGUAACACGUGAGUAACCUGCCCUUGACUUUGGGAUAACUUCAGGAAACUGGGGCUAAUACCGGAUAGGAGCUCCUGCUGCAUGGUGGGGGUUGGAAAGUUUCGGCGGUUGGGGAUGGACUCGCGGCUUAUCAGCUUGUUGGUGGGGUAGUGGCUUACCAAGGCUUUGACGGGUAGCCGGCCUGAGAGGGUGACCGGCCACAUUGGGACUGAGAUACGGCCCAGACUCCUACGGGAGGCAGCAGUGGGGAAUAUUGCACAAUGGGCGGAAGCCUGAUGCAGCAACGCCGCGUGCGGGAUGACGGCCUUCGGGUUGUAAACCGCUUUCGCCUGUGACGAAGCGUGAGUGACGGUAAUGGGUAAAGAAGCACCGGCUAACUACGUG
RNAcentral lists this ribosomal RNA (468 nucleotides) under uncultured bacterium. RNAcentral's name for it is "partial 16S ribosomal RNA". It matches the Rfam family "Bacterial small subunit ribosomal RNA", at positions 28 to 507 of the family's 1533-position model. The record is from RNAcentral.